UAGAGGGAGAUAAUUGCAUCAACAUGAAAAGCAAGCUGAGGUAUAGGUAUAAGAGGGGGUUCAGUGUAUGGUUUUUAAUGUCCCGCAGAGAGGGUAGUAGAAGGAGGAACACUUCAAAAGACUGCCACACUAGACUCUGUCUCUGUGUUACGAGUCUCAGGAAAAACAUUUCCUCUUUGCAGAAAAUUAUUAGUCCGUUAAUAAUAAUAAUGAAAACAGCAAAUGAGUCAUGAUGUGAAUAAGAACACUCUUGCUGUCUUUUCCUGGAACUUGAGAAACGUCACUAGUGUUUUCUCACUUCUGUGUUGCGAGUGUGCACCGCGAGGAAAUCCUGUCCACAGGAGGCUACUGUAAUGUAAAACUGUAAAUUUAAGCACCAAACUGGGUUCUAAUCAGCAGAAUACAGUACGGUAUUCAACAGUGUGAAGACUGUACAGGCUGGUCAGACGGCUCCUGUCGUCACACCAAGUGGAUUCCCUGUUAAUAUGACUUCCUGAGGGGCCCCUGGAUCCUCGACUACCAGUCAUUAAUUAUGCUUUCAGCAAAGAAAGCUCGCCUCUUAUCUGAAGUGACGCCAGCCAGACAUGGUAUCAGCACGUAUGAUACAUGUGGAACGUUUUAUUCAUGGCCAGCUGUAACAGAGUUAUUUAGAGAUAAACAGAAAGUUUUAUACUUUUGGCGGCAACCCGAUAGCUGGCGCUGGUUUGAUGCCAGCUGGCUGCAUGUCUUCUCCUCUCUCCUACCCCAUUACUUAUGCGGUUCCUUCCACUUAUUCCUAUCAAAAAGAUAAAGUUAUAUAAGCCCCAAACCCAUACAUGCUUCUUCUUCUCCCCCACUGUCUGCACUUUGUGACAUCCUCACAUCUGCUCAGUGGUGAGGAAGGCCUUCUCCUCUGACGACAGCAGCCUCUCCCAUGGCGUCAGAGUGAUAUCUGAAGCCUGCAGGCCAGCGGAGGAGAGAGAUGGAGCCCCAGCUGGACUAACUCCACCUCGCCAUCUGGGUCCAGGCCUUGUUACAAAGCACUGAGCCACGUGUGCUGCAGCAGGCACAUGGAUCCAUCCACCCAACAAUGGAUCAUUCAUGCUUGAAGGUGCUACUGUAUUCCACACAUAUAAGUCUGUGCAUAGAACCAGAGGUAACUGAAGUGAUUUUGCUUAACAGGUCAGAGUUCAUGUUGAUGUGACUCUAAGUGGGGUUUACCAUAGUCAGAGGAUACUCCAUGGUGUCCAAUUUAGUAAAUCCCUUCAAGUAUCAGAUAGCACACAGCUAAAUCUAAUUGCUUUUUAUUCUAAAUUGUGCACUGACCUGUUUGUCUUGUCUUUCCAAACUGGUGUAGAUUUAAGUAGCCUGCCUUUGCUGACAUCUGUGAGAAAUUAAGGAGCUUGGCGAAUGGUCAGUUCAGAGUAUAGUGUUUAUUAUUAACAGCUUGCUUUUAGUUGUGGCGGCGUACCAUCAGUUCCAUCAGAACCGGGUAAUAAUGACCACUUGUGCUUCAUCUCAUCUCGAAGCACCUUCGCCAUCAGACGUCUUUCAUCCAGCACAGCCUCUCUUGUGUGGCAAAUUUCUUUCUAACAUGUAAUUAUUCACAGCAGGCCACUGUUAGUUCAUGUGCCUGCUAGAUGUAUGUCACCUGUUGUUCACACAACCAAACGUCUAUACAAGGCCUGUUGCUCCCCCUACCCUUCCUGCGCCUGUGUCUUUGAUCAAUAAUUCUGUGGCCAACCAGCAGCCAUCAAUAUGGGCACCAGAGAGGGGCUCAUUGUCAUCUAAUUACAGACCUACUGCUUCAUGACCGAGCCGGUGCCUGAAUGAAGGUUCACAGAAGUGAGGGGUAACGUGAUCGAGCACCUAAUUUGUGAUUAAAUUGAGAGCACCUGUGGCAUCUGGAGGGGUCGACGCUGAGUCACACACUGAGUUCAUCUUCAGAGAAGGGAGCCAAGUGUUAGGACAAUGGCGCCGUGAGAGGGACAGUACCAUGUGUCCGAGACCAUUGUUUGACUUAAGUGAGGUGAAAAGACACCGAACACAACAGGAUAUUGAGUGUGCAUGGCCGCCUGCAUUUACGGUACGCCUCAAGCAGAUGAUUAAUAAAAGGAAAAACACAAAACAAGAACCGUGAAAAGGAGUUCUAAAAUAAACACACGAAAAACACAGAAGAACCACAAAAAUGUAAAAUUACUAUGAAGAGAUACAAAAAAACACCCACAACUGAAUAAAGUAAGGCUAAUUUAAGACAAAUAGACACAAAAUGAGUGCCUGAAUUGACCACUACAAACUGUGUGGUGUUGUUAGAUGACAACACCACACAACCAAAACAAUGGGAGCACAAACUGUGGGAAAAGAGAGGCAGAACGAAGACACAUCGAUGCGAAAUGACUGCAGAGAGAUUUCCGCAACAUGUGCGUGAUAUGCGGCAGUUGUGUGUCUCGUUCGGUCUGUGAGUCUUGCAGAAAAGACGAAGGAUCAGUAAAUAUGCAUUUGAUUUGUAAUUCUAUAGCAGAUCAGUUUGAGGCGGUCUUGUAGGUCAUAUUAAACCUACCGUGUAGUGGUGGAUGGACAAGCUUUUUUUUUUUUUCCUGAGGGAACUCACAGGAACUACCUUCUCUUUUAUUAUCUUUCCUGCUAUUAUCACUGGCAGCGCCUGCUCGCUCUCUAAUCUCCACGGCCAGCGCGGCCCGCACGCCAUCCCGGUAUAACUCCUCAUUCUCAGGGGCCCGCUCCCUCAUACAUCCAGCUUCCUCCAAGGCCAUUCUCCUCAUAUUACCUUGCAAUUCAUUCAAAAGCAUCAGAUAGCACAAAUUGAGCACUUGGUAGGCUGAGAAAUUGGAGUCACAUUUGACCCCAUCCAGACUGAAAAAAAAAAAGCACCUCACUGUAUCUACUUGUUAGUGCGCCUUAUAACCUCACUUAAAUGGAAAGGGCAAACUCAAUUAAGCAUCUCUGGCUCGCUCAUCUGUUCAUGUGUUCCUCGGUGACUUUAGCAUUAGCGCUUUCGUCUCAUCUGCAUAAAUCAUGUUUCUUCAUAUAUCAUCAUCUGAGAGUCAGAGCAGAUGCAAGUCUGUGAUUGAGUUUAGGUGACAACAGCACACACAUGCAAUCAUGACCACGACAAGAUUUAUGAAAUGGGAUAAUGAGUUCAUAUUAAUGCAUGAACAUACCCCGAGCUGAAGCUCAAACUCCAGAUGUGCUCUUCUGUGGCUUCAUUGACUCCAGUUACACCAAAGUUAUUUCAUCCCAGGAGGUGGAUUAUUUUCAUUACAGUAAAGGUUGAAAGUCAUGAAUGCAGUGCAUUAAAUUUAAAUUAAAACAGAGUACACCACUUCAAGUCAGUAAUUACAGUAUCAAAGGGGAAUCAGUCAUUGUGACUAAACAAAAGUUCCCUAAUUAAAUAAUAAUCAUCAUCAUUAACUUAUAAAUGUUCUGCUCUUUUUCUUUUGAACUAUGUUAAAGUGCCAGUCUCAAACAUUAUAAAUCAAAGAUACAUUUACCUUAUCAUUGCCAAAAAAAAAGUUACUGUAAAUGUAAUCUGUUUAAAGGGUGAGUUUGGCCAACCGAACAGACUGCUGCAGUUUCAAAAUAAAAACAUUUAAGUGGCAAACUACAGUUGACAUUUGUGAAGUAUUACCAGCAGAUUCAAAGUGGUACGGAUGUUUUCUGACAGAGGAUCAACUUCAAAUAUUCUAGGGGUUAAUGGAGCAAAAAUUAACAGCUGCAGUGAGCUGCUAGAUGAAGAGCUGCAGACAGCAGGCUGCAAACUCCCUGCCCUUGGAAUGAUUUAUGCAAUAAAGAUGUUGUUAUGCUGCAUUUGCUGUUACCACCAAUAACUACAUGUGUCAUCAAACCAACCUGGACUGACUUCUUUGAGAUGCUGUUACUUCUUUUAUUUAUUUUUUUAGCCCUAUCCUUCUCUAAACCAUCAUCUAGGCUGACAUUGUUGUGCUGCACAAAGAAACCCGUACUGCAUUUAGUAUGACUUUAGAAGAAUGUUUCAUUUAUUCAGCAGUUUGAAUGUUUGGGCCUGGAGCAUUAAUGUCUGUAUUCGCUGAGGGAAGGGGUUGGCAUUACUGAUCUAAUCAACAUUAAGUCCUUGUGAGUCUUAAUACAGUUUAAACUAACAAUAUAUUGAGACCAGAUCCGGCCCAGGGCUAAAACUGGAACCUGCGGUCUAUAACAGCAGUGUUAACAGGUCUCAGCCCAGCCAGGAGAGGAAGGGGCUUUGUCCACUCAGCUCUGAAGACACAACACCGUCUGUGCUGACACACGAGCUGCCGUUUCAUCCCCGCAGCUCAUUGUAAAUAACAGAAAAGCUCUUUCAAUGGGAAACAAACCUGCUUUGUGUUCCUCCGUCCACACAUCUAAACUACUCAAGUGCUGCACGCCGGUCUUCCUCACAGCACUGGACUCCGGGGCCAGUUCUUUUGGAGGGGCUCCGUCUGUGCUGCUAAACAUCAAAAUUGCUGGUCAGGUUUAUUGCUCCUGCUCUGUGAUGCUCAGGUUUCCCCUCAUCUGGUCUACAUAAGACACGAGUCGAAAGCACGUGUUGGCUUCAGUUUGGUGUCUGAUUUAGGAUGGAGGUGAGGAUCCAAAAAUAUUACAACACUUCUGACGUAUAGCAUCUGUCCAUGCUUAUAGAUUUCCAUGAAAAGGGUUCAAAUGAGCAUGCGUAAAAACAAAGGUACUAUUGUUCCGGUGUAAUGGUAGUUAGACUUUAAAUGAUCAAGUCUAGUAGCAAUGACUUGCCUCAUCUCUCACUUAUUGCAAGAAAAGAGACUUUGGCUACUUCCAAUCAUAUAAAUAUUCAUAAUUAUAAAUUAUUAUAAAUGACUAUAAACCCAGGUUAACAAACUGGAGGAGAUGUUGUCACACUUACAUAAAGUUGGACGAACAGUUUUUAUACAGGAGUUUUGGGCCCGAUUAAGAAUACAGAUAGAGUCUGAGAUUAGGAUUUGAAGUACACAACCCUUAAUCUAAAUUUCCUUUUAAUUGCAACAGUGCCAUGUAGGCUAAAUGUUAGGACAUUUUAUAGUUAAAAAUAAAUUUGCCACUACUCUACCACUAGAGAAUAGAAUGGAAACAUUAUUAACAUGUGCGUUAGUUACAGUACGUACUUCAAUCCCUUGCCAUUUAUUAUACUUUGUAACAUCUGACCAUAUCUGACAGGACUGUGGUGCCACGCCAGACAUUAAACGUUACUGAUUUAAAACCAUCUGCGAGGAGUUUUUUUUUUUUUUGUAUGACACACACACAUUCAUCUCAGCUCUUUUUCCCAGCAGCAGAGCCUGUCUGCAGCGCUGCAGUGUCCUGGCACGGUUUUAAUUAUUAAGUUAUCCACUAACAGCGUCUCUGUCUGGAAGAGUCCAUCUGCCAGCCAAGAAGAAGAAGAAGAAGAUACAGGAGCUGGUGAGUGAUAAAUCAUCUGAACCGUGAGAUGAAAUUCUACUUUUUUUUCUCACUUUUAUUUGCAUUUUAAGUUGUGUACAUGUGUGCAUCUGUCUCGUGCCCAGAGUCAAGAGACUUUAAGGUUAAGAGAGCAGCAAACAUGUACACAACUUAAAACACAAAUAAAAGUGAAAAAGCCUUUUGACUCUGUGCAUCAAAGUGCACUGUGCUUUAUCAUAGGUGAUAAGGUUCUCAAUCAAUUUGCAUCUUAUAUGAAAAAGUGCUGCAUAAAGACAUUACUGCAACACUGGAACUACAAUCUCUGCAUUUCUCCUUGUAAUUGCAUUAUUUAAUAUUUGUGUGUGAUUUAUAAGACAUUUUUUUCUGUUCCUGUUUCCUAAGCGCUGGUCUAUCUUGUGAAAGAGAUGCUUGUAUCAAUGGGACGACGCGUUUAAAUAUAGGAUUAAAUAAAAAGUUUUGAUGCUGUAUGCGGGUGAAGAUAUGUUUCACUUGCAGCAUCCGUCUAACAGUAUGCAUAUGUGUAGCCAUGGUAUGGUGAAGUGCUUUGGCAGAGAACCUUUAAACCAUCAAACAGCAGCGUGUUUGUUUUAAAUCCUUAAGUGUCGAUGGAGAACCAUCAGUCCAGCCGAGAGUUGACAGUAUGGGUCAUCAAAGAGCCUUUACUGCUACCGUGUCUCACAAAAAACUCCAAACAAUGGCAGGAAGGGGCUGCAAGUCUUCAGGAGAUGAGCCACACACAAACAUCUUCAAGCAGGAUUCAUCAGACUGGCGCUGGGGUUGAGGGGGGUCCAUCCAUUUCCUGUUUUUACCUCCCGGCGAAGCGGCGACAAGGGCGUGCGUGUGCCACCGUCGCUAAUGACUUAAGACUUGUAAGGCGCAGCUAACACAAUCAUUCAAUGCUCUAUUAUGCCCAGCAGAAUGGAAGUGGUGCAGACUUCCCUGGAUUUGCGCAUAUUGUGUAUUGGCGGCAACGUCAUCUCGUCAUUAGUGGUGACCAGAAAUGAUGCCAGUGACCGUGUGUCUCCAGCUACCGACACAAUGGUUUGUUAACAGUCUCCCAACUCAGAGGACAUCCUCCCCAUAUGGCCGAGAGAGCCUGGCUCCAAUACUAAUCUGCUCCCACUGUUUAUAAAAUAAACAGGCCCCUGAACACUAACCUACAGCCCGCCCACUCCUGCACCCUCUACUCUACAUCUGGCUGACCUUUGACCUGAGCCGUUUGAACAGUGUUUCCUGUCCAGUGCAAUGUGAAUACAGUGUAAUGGCAAAAUCAACACUGUAGACAUUUUUUUAGGAGGGGAUUACCAACACAUCCGCGCGGAGGUGGCACAUGUGGCAGCCGCCAUCGCACACAUGAGCACAAAAAAAAAAUUAAAAAUGGAGGACUCAUGCUAGGCUGUAAACAAGCACUCAUUUAGAUAAGGCUCUGUUUAGUGGUGUUAGGUUUCUUCUAAUGACGAAAUCCGUGGUAUUCUUUUUUCCAAAACAAGGAUCUUCACGCACACAUCUCCAGCAGACACCCCCGCCCCGUCUUGGUGGGAGCCUUCUAGGCCCGCUGGUGGAGGACUGAGAAGAGAUAAGCCCGUGGUCGGCCUCCAUCAACACAUGAGGCUUUCCAAAGCGAGUAGAGUUACAGACAGGCACUCCUCUGGGGCUCAGUGGGAGUGGGAGCGGGCUGGGACGGAGCUGCUCAGACAUUGGUAGGUUGUUAAUCUGCCCCCAGCCGGCCUGCUGAUGCCCACCAUCUGUGUCUGUAACUCAUCACCCCGCCGCCAGGAGCCUCCGCAGGCACACACACAAGUAAACAAACUCCCAGAGAGAGCCAUUUAACGGCUAAUUCUCUACCUGGCUUAGGUAAUUGCUGAUUAUCAGCGCCACCCAAAAAGCGGAGGACGGGAGCUAGCGGAGACAUAGGGUAUAAGGGGGAGCCAGAUGUGAGAAGGGGACCAUUAACUUUCGGGUUGUUUCAUCGUCCUCAUUAAGAGGGGCAUUUGUGCCAAGCCAAACAGAAAUAUAGCUCAAUCAGGACACAAGUAUGUGAAGAAACUACUGUGACAGGUUUAAUUACCACCAGCAGGGAUUCUAGUCAACAGACUUUCGGGAGUGUCAGGAAAACUGUGGGCUGCUGGUUAUGCUUCAUUUACUUGACAAGACUUCACAGUCAUAAUUGCGCAGGCCUCUGGCUCCACUGAGCCAGGGGAUGUAAAGGGUUAAGAGGUCAGGAGGAUGGGCGCAGCACAGGGGUGGGGGGACAAACAGGCGGAGAUUAAGCGAAACGCCUGAAACUCCUCAAGGAGUAUGACAGCCGCACAGGUGUGCAGCACUUACCCCCACGUAACCCCCACACACACCCAUCGUUUGGGGCUGAAGUAUCCCUUGGGCGUAGCAGCAGGCAGGUGAUUAGCAGAUACAAUUACUAUGCCUCACUUAGCUUUGCACCGUUCAGUCUCGUGGCUGAAUCUUACUGACAGAGACAAGUCGGUCGCUCUAUGUGAACUGAAGGCUGAGCUGAAUGACUAACUUUUUAAAAAUCUGUGCGAAAUAGUUGGACGGUGAUGCUGUGUCAUUUCUGUUUUGUGUAAGAGGUGAAGCGAAGGCUAUCAGUGCAUCUAUUGUUUUUUUUUGUAACAAAAGAGAUCAGAUAUUUUCUCAGAAACAUCGCAAUUGUUUCAAUGUAUUCAAAGUAUGUAUGUAGGGUUGAGUGUUUUUUUCUCAUGGCUGUUUCCAAUCCAAUGUUACUCACCUCGAGGGUCUUUUCAGUUCAGCACCCCCCCUCCUCAACCCAGUAAUUUUCAUACAGUCCCUAAUGCGGUGCGGCGCGUCCACAGGGAGUAGCUCGAACGAGAGCUGUGAUGACAUUUAAAGCACUUUGCUAAAUGCACUCAUGAGAAUUUUUGGGUGUUAUUCCAUGUUAAAUUUACCCGCUAAGUAUCAUCCAUGUCUGUAGCCAUUUGGACACCCUAAAUAGAAGUACGCUUAUACAAUGGAAACAGCACUGGUGCCAAAACUGCACUUCCAACACAGGCAAACUCUAGCCUAUGUUACAGGAUAGUUGAGACUGCAGGCCCCGCUCCAGACUAAAAAACAUUAACAGGUAUUUAUAACAUUAUUCAGCAGCGGCCUCCUUUUGGGAUGAUUUACAAUAGCUCACAGGGGCCAAACGAUUGAAAACAUUUAUGUGGGAGCUGUUAUGUUUUCAUCCAGACGAGACCUACACGCCCAGGCAACCAGUAUUCAAACUACACUAUAUUAAAAAGAAAAAGUAGACACAGGUAAUUUGGUCUGGAUGUGGACAAGUGCCAAGUCGUCCAUAAUGUUAAGGGAGGAAGAUAAAAGUGAGGGCUUUUCCUCUGGCAGAUGAACAUAAGAGGUCCACACAGAAAGAACAACACAGCCAUGAUUCAAUUAUGCGCCCUGGAACCCAACACACGGAUCCCUCUUCUUAGUGCCUCCUGCACGAAGACUAAUGUUUUCCCUAGGCGCAAUAAAUAAUGUUUUAUUCCCUCUGCCACGGAAAGUUCACCUGCACGGACGAUCACGGUGUCUGCCCUCGUAUUUGUUACUGCGGCCUUUUAAUUUGACCUGAGUCAACCUGUCAUGCUCCAUCAAACGUGGGAAUCGGAUACCUCAGGAACACAGGCGCCUUUGCUUUACGUUAUGCCCCACUACCACCACCACCACCACCACCACUGCCGCCGCCCAGUGCCUCAACACACUGAGCCUGGGAGAAAGUCACCCGCAUCACAUGAAUCAAGCACUGUGACAGGGGUCCGUUGGGUCUGGGAUCACACGGAGGAUCACAAGUCUCUCUUUUUACUGCUCCCUCUCCCGUCUCUGUUAGCUGGGGAUGAGAGAGGCGGGAUGGCCGUCUAAAGGCAUAUAUUUCCGUUGAUGGAGAGAUAAAUCAGAUCAUUUCUGGAGUAAGGAAGAGAGCACAGAGGGAGCCUUCUUGGUCACCCCCCUUUGAGAUGUAAAUGGCACGGUGGCACUGAAAGAGGGCCAGGUGUCCGAUGCAAAGAGGGAAAGCGUGACGGUGCAUGCAUUCCUCAGGGACCUAGACCAUUAACUGUUGCCGUGCCUCGUGUGCGCAAACAUCAGAUCUCAUAAUGGCCUGUAAUGGCCCUGGUGGACACACUUUAUAAGUAUGAUUAAUAGCUAUUGACGGGGUUCCCCUUCAAGGCAGAUAGACAAUACUCAUGUCGACACAGAAUACAGCAGAUUAAGUAGCAACUACCACUGUGACAAUUUCCAAAUGACGUGUAACUUGCCGCCUUCUGUUCAUCGCCGCACUGAACCCUUGACGACCAGAGGUCAACAGCUGCAGCUCACACCUUGCUGGACGAUUAGAAAUCAGUUAGUGGGCUUAGAGGGGUCAUCAAGUCAGCAGUUUGCAGUGAACUCUGUAAAGCCUGAGGCAAAAACCUCAAAUAUCCCACACCUCAAGGUGGAGACAAGAGGCAUUAGGCAGCUCAAAUAGUGAAUUAAGAAAAGAAUAGCAACCCGUUAUUAGUCCAAACGAGGAGAGGGAGUGGGAAUGGCCUCUUUGGGAAGGGUUAGGGGUUCAAGCUGAAGAAAAAGCCUUAAAGGAGAAAGGUCAAAUAUGUCGUAGAAACACUCCUACAGCAGCUUUACAAUCUUCCCUUCAUUUCUGGGAUGCCCAGACAUACAGACACCAGACCAUGGACUCCCAUUUGAUAAGACCUUGCACCAUGUCGUCCUGUCUUAGAUGAUGUAUUUGACAUGAUGCAGAAUGAAACCGUUACACAGUUCUCCCAUUAUAGUAUCAGUGAUAAUGAAAAUUAACUAAUCUUCCGCUCUUAGACCAACACACUGAGAACAAUGCAACGUAGACAUUAGCUAGUGGUGGAGUUAUUCCACCCCAAAUUGAACUAAUAAAAAACAAAUGAACAACACAAGAAAAAAACCCAAUGUGUUUUAUGUGUCCGGACAUUCAGUCUAAUCCUAAAAAGUGAGUGGCAGGAUGCAAAGGGAAUUUUUAUUUAAAAGUUGACUGACAGUUUCCUAAGAACAUGUUUAUAAUUGUAUAAUAUAAGAUGAAGUCCAUCCAUUAAAACCCUUUAGUCCACCCCACCGUGUUGUUAGACAUGCUGUCUGAUUUCUUGAUAGUGUAUUUUUUUUUUAAGCCAGAUAUAUUUGUAUACACAUUGUAUUUAGUAAAAGGCAACUAUUACUACCAGAGGGGAACAAAUGAUAAUUUCAUUAUCAUCAAAAUAGUUUUAUUCUUUAGUAAAGAAAGUGAGCUUACUUUGAAAUUUGUUUGUACAUUGUCUACAUGCAGGUAAUUUAUGAGAAUAUUGACCAUAAUGCAUUUCUUACUAACAGCUUAUUAAAAUUAAUAUGCAGCUAAAUGGAAAAUCUAGAGCUUUUAUUUCUAAAUGCCACUUUGUGGCGCUUUUUAGAUUAGUGUUCUAAGCUAAACUAUUAGCUGGUUAUAUGUUAGUAGGAAGAUCACCGAUAUAAAGUACUGAUAUCAAUACAUUCUCUGGACUCAGAAAUAAGAAGUAAACCACUUUAGGUUAUGGCUCUGGACAAAUUUACGGAAAAAUAAAUAGUGGGCAAAAAUGGUCACAUGUAUUUGUACAUCUUUAUUCAAAAGUAGAGAUGUCACGUCACCAUUAGCUGUGGCGCGCUUCAACAUGUUAUGGAAAAAUGUAGUUAAGGUAACUGCUGAUCCGUGUUACAUGUGCUGCAACAUUAAUAAACGUGUACAGUAAUGAAGACAUCUUGUUUUGUCACACAUUGUGAAACACUGCCUCGUUUCGAAGCGAUGACUGUGGUGCCCCAUCUGCUGGUGAACACAAGACACUGCACAGGUAGAAAGCUUAACAUGUCCAAAGACUCUUGUUAUACAAUGCAACAGAAAUGCUUUAAGUUGGCUUUACGCUAAAUUUAACAUUAAACUCAUGCCCCGUGGUUGUCAACUAUCUCUUUCAGAAGGCUAGUGUAAAUGGCGAAAAAUAAUACCCAUCAGUCUUCUCAGAUUAACCUUUUUCUCCUAGUGUUACAAAUAUUGACCUAAAGUGGACUGGUCCCAGACAGCUUUUGCCAUUUCUGUAACUGCUCAAUAAAAUAUAGCAAUAAACGUUGAGAAACAGAUUUCAAAUUACAAAACAGUUAUUUUUUACAUGAAAUAUAUCUACACAGAGCAUUAAAUUAAAAUGUAACAUGAGUGAAAUGUGAUACAAGCGACUUAAAACUACAGAGUACAGGUGAGUGGCUGCUUGCUAAACGUCAUCCUUUUAAUCCCCACUGCUGUUUAUAACUGACCUACACAUGCAGAAUUAUACACACAAACACAUUUCAUAUGUGUGCUCGUGUUUGUCAAAACUCCCUUUGCGACUGUUACGCAAGUUAGAAAAAGAUUAAGACAUA
Molecule: long non-coding RNA, 11793 nt
Organism: Mugil cephalus (flathead mullet)
Lineage: Eukaryota; Metazoa; Chordata; Actinopteri; Mugiliformes; Mugilidae
Exons: 2
Source: RefSeq, a predicted model, not a curated record